Molecule: long non-coding RNA, 599 nt
Organism: Cavia porcellus (domestic guinea pig)
Lineage: Eukaryota; Metazoa; Chordata; Mammalia; Rodentia; Caviidae
Exons: 3
Source: RefSeq, a predicted model, not a curated record
AUAAUGCACGUUACUCAGUUGCAUUGUGAGCUCUGAAAGCCAUUUAAUGAAGGUAGACAGGCUUCCAAGAAGGUGCGUUUUUUGACUAAUGUAGGUACUCCUGGAAAAAUCUUUCCCCAACACGGAAAGCAAGAAUUACUGGGCGAGUAGAAGAAGGAAUGCUAUUACCAUGUCUUGUCUCACUCAAUCAAAUCGAAUGGAAACAACCUCGGGUUAAAUGUGAUCGCUUCUAGUUUCUGGGGAUGGAACCCAAGCUGUCGUGGAUACCAGGGAAGCGCCGUAUAUUGAACUAGUCUGACACCAGCACCUCGAAUUGGGACUUGCCAGCCCUCAGCACCAUGAGAAACACAUUUCUGCUCUUCGUGCACCACCCCUGGGACUCCCUCCCCCAGCCGUGCUGCUUCAUCAUUACGUACUGGAAGUGACCACGUGUAGACCCAUGUGUAUGUCUCCGUUCUUGAAGGUCACUUCAAUUCUGGGAUUGAGCUUGCACUGGCUUUUAUACAACCCUUCCGUGUCUUCCCAACUUAAUGAAAGCAGAGCGUGUUCAUUUCCAGCUACGAGGAACAUAUGAAAUAAAAAUAAUAAUAUUCACCUUG